Molecule: long non-coding RNA, 524 nt
Filed under: Helianthus annuus (common sunflower)
Lineage: Eukaryota; Viridiplantae; Streptophyta; Magnoliopsida; Asterales; Asteraceae
Description: hypothetical non coding rna
Source: RNAcentral
UUGAAAUUGUAAAAUCAAAAGUAGAGCUGUAAACGAACCGAACGUUCAGCGAACAGUUUGUGAACUGUUCGGCGGGAAGUUCGUUUAUGUUCGUUCGAUUAGCUUAACGAACGAACACGGACAAAAAUUUUCGUUCGGUUAGCUUAGCGAACGAACACAAACACAGGUCUCGUUCGUUCAACUGCGUUCGUGAACGUUCGGUAAUAUGUUCGGUUUACGUUCGUUUGUUUAUAUUAAAAAAUAAUAAAUAAUAAAUAAUAAACCUUUUAUCUAAACAUAUUGAAAACUUGAAACCAUAUUUUUUUCUGAAUUAGCUAAAAUUUGGACAUUCUAAGACAUUUUUGAAGAUAAUUAUGUCUAAGUUAGUUAAACUUGAUUCAUCGUUUGGUGGUGUAGUAGACUUCUUGUGUUUUGAUUUAUCAUUUGAUGGUUGUAUUUAACUACUUAUAUCAAAUGUUUAAGAAUAACAAUUGUUCACGAACUGUUCGUGAACAACUGAAUUUGCUUAACGAACGAACAUGAAC